RNAcentral lists this ribosomal RNA (255 nucleotides) under uncultured bacterium. Its description in RNAcentral is "partial 16S ribosomal RNA". It matches the Rfam family "Bacterial small subunit ribosomal RNA", at positions 524 to 776 of the family's 1533-position model. The record is from RNAcentral.
UACGUAGGGCGCAAGCGUUGUCCGGAAUUAUUGGGCGUAAAGAGCUCGUAGGUGGCGUGUCGCGUCUGCCGUGAAAGCCCAUGGCUUAACUGUGGGUCUGCGGUGGGAUACGGGCAGGCUGGAGGCUGGUAGGGGCAAGCGGAAUUCCUGGUGUAGCGGUGAAAUGCGCAGAUAUCAGGAGGAACACCGGUGGCGAAGGCGGCUUGCUGGGCCAGUUCUGACGCUGAGGAGCGAAAGCGUGGGGGAGCGAACAGG